Molecule: long non-coding RNA, 528 nt
Organism: Saccostrea cuccullata (small rock oyster)
Lineage: Eukaryota; Metazoa; Mollusca; Bivalvia; Ostreida; Ostreidae
Exons: 4
Source: RefSeq, a predicted model, not a curated record
GUCGACCGGAAGAAGUCCUCGACCUCAGCAUACAUGAAGUCAUAGCAAGAAGCAGUGAAAGUCAUAGCAGAGAUUGGAUGGAGCAUAAUUUUUUCUAUGUCUCGGCGCCUCUAUGGAUGUCAUAUUUAGAUCAGAUGCAAUCUGAGCCUUGUUCUGAAUUUCAAAAUCCCCUUGGACAACACCUGCACAGCUGAGCAAUCAAGGACCUUCUGACUAAGGGCUGAAUUAUAGUGAACACUGCCAUUCAGAGACUUUGAAACAGAGAGAUGAAUCAACCACAUGCUCUACGUCAGAGGAAUCUAGCUGGAGCACCUAUUUAGCAGCCAGGACACAUAGAUGUACCUGUACUGUUGAUACAGAAAAUCUCAAUGGCACAUUUCUAAAUGAUGGCUAAAAAACUCUAAUAAAGACACUUUCAGUUUAAAACUUUUUGAAAGAAAUCCAGACCAGAAACAAAGGAUAUUGAUUUUUAAGCUCCUCCAAAUGUAAAAGGGGUUUUAUUGAAACCAAGACCAGGAUACACCCAAG